UGCACAUAUUGGGUGGCCAGAUGACAGCUC
This 30-nucleotide non-coding RNA is filed under the name Mus musculus (house mouse). Lineage: Eukaryota; Metazoa; Chordata; Mammalia; Rodentia; Muridae. The record is from RNAcentral.